Molecule: ribosomal RNA, 252 nt
Filed under: uncultured bacterium
Lineage: Bacteria
Description: partial 16S ribosomal RNA
Rfam family: Bacterial small subunit ribosomal RNA
Source: RNAcentral
CGUUACCUAACGGACGUACGAUGGUAGGGGUCCGUCGAGAGGAGGAUCCCCACCACUGGUACUGAGACACGGACCAGACUCCUACGGGAGGCAGCAGUGAGGAAUAUUGGACAAUGGGCGCAAGCCUGAUCCAGCCAUGCCGCGUGCAGGAAUAAGGUCCUAUGGAUUGUAAACUGCUUUUAUACAGGAAGAAACACUCCGACGUGUCGGAGCCUGACGGUACUGUAAGAAUAAGGAUCGGCUAACUCCGUG